UACGAAGGGGGCUAGCGUUGUUCGGAAUUACUGGGCAUAAAGCGUGCGCAGGCGGCCAUCCAAGUCAGUGGUGAAAGCCCGGAGCUCAACUCCGGAAUUGCCAUUGAAACUGUUUGGCUCGAGUACGAGAGAGGUGAGUGGAAUUCCCAGUGUAGAGGUGAAAUUCGUAGAUAUUGGGAAGAACACCGGUGGCGAAGGCGGCUCACUGGCUCGUAACUGACGCUCAUGCACGACAGCGUGGGGAUCAAACAGG
Molecule: ribosomal RNA, 253 nt
Filed under: uncultured bacterium
Lineage: Bacteria
Description: partial 16S ribosomal RNA
Rfam family: Bacterial small subunit ribosomal RNA
Source: RNAcentral